This 243-nucleotide ribosomal RNA is filed under the name uncultured bacterium. Its description in RNAcentral is "partial 16S ribosomal RNA". It matches the Rfam family "Bacterial small subunit ribosomal RNA", at positions 111 to 354 of the family's 1533-position model. The record is from RNAcentral.
UAACGCGUGAGCAAUCUGCCUUUGGAUGGGGGAUAACAGCCGGAAACGGCUGCUAAUACCGCAUAAUGCAGCGGGAUCGCAUGGUUCUGUUGCCAAAGAUUUAUUGUCCAAAGAUGAGCUCGCGUCUGAUUAGCCAGUUGGCGGGGUAACGGCCCACCAAAGCGACGAUCAGUAGCCGGACUGAGAGGUUGAACGGCCACAUUGGGACUGAGACACGGCCCAGACUCCUACGGGAGGCAGCAG